Molecule: long non-coding RNA, 330 nt
Organism: Oryzias latipes (Japanese medaka)
Lineage: Eukaryota; Metazoa; Chordata; Actinopteri; Beloniformes; Adrianichthyidae
Source: RefSeq, a predicted model, not a curated record
AUUAUGACCACUCCGCCUCCAUGCCUCAGACUGGAUCCAGCAGCUCAUCCUUUCACCAAAUAAUUCUGCUGAUCGAAGUGAGGAACAUUUUCUCAAAAGGAUUGAGGUGUCUGUCUUUAACGGAGCCACCUGAAGCAGUGGUCCUGCCUCCCUGAAGCCGGCGGUGUCGCAAACAAAACAUCUGCUUUGGUCUAAAUUCUCUGGGAGUCCUGAAAAGAGAGCGUCAGGUUUUCACAGCAACACGUUAACCAACGCUGGGAAAGGAGGCAGUUUCAGCUCAAGGUUGUGUCUAAACUAGAGACGUCAAAACUAAACAGGGGGAGAAAGUGG